Molecule: unclassified non-coding RNA, 589 nt
Filed under: Hevea brasiliensis (rubber tree)
Lineage: Eukaryota; Viridiplantae; Streptophyta; Magnoliopsida; Malpighiales; Euphorbiaceae
Source: RNAcentral
GGGUAUAGUAAUCAAAUUACUGUAAGGCUUCCCAUGCCAAAAAAGCUUCUUUAGUGGCUUCAUCCUCGUGUUUCUAUAGUCUUACUAGGAUGGUCCUAAUGUUAUCUUAUGUGCUUUAAUUCUAUCCAACACGUGGGAAAAUAAUAUCAUAUCUGUAGAUGGAUAACAACUAGCAAGGGUCAUAUGUCUGCUUUAUGACCUUUUGUGCUUAUUAUCUUAAAAGGUCUAUCAGUUGUUUAUUCUCAACUUGCUCAGAGGAUAUUGACUAUAGUUCAUAUGUUCAAUUGCUUUUGUCAUAUUACUGAUUUAUUGUUGUGUCCUCUCUUUGUGGACUUCUCUCCCUCAAUAUGGAACAUUUCUUUUAAUAUGUUUUUUAUCUUGGAGUGGCCUAAUAUUGCAGCCCUUUGCUAUGUUAUAUUCCCAUACUAUUGUAAAUUUGUAAUCAAUCCCCUGUAGUGAGUAACCUGCAAAUAUUAUUUCUUAAUCAUCUUUUAGCUGACUUGAUCUCAACUUUAUUACUUCAAUAAUUCCAGGAAUAGAGGCUCGAAGAUUUAUAUUUGGGCACCAAUUGCUUUGGCGAUAAUCCAUU